UUAAUUAAAGCCAAAAAGAGGCAUAUUAUUGUUAAUAAUAUAAUUGAAAUUUAACUUCUAAUUAAA
RNAcentral lists this transfer RNA (66 nucleotides) under Blasticotoma sp. 'tegularis'. Its description in RNAcentral is "tRNA-Asn". The record is from RNAcentral. Lineage: Eukaryota; Metazoa; Arthropoda; Insecta; Hymenoptera; Blasticotomidae.